ACGGGAGACACACGGCGGGUGCUAACGUCCGUCGUGAAGAGGGAAACAACCCAGACCGCCAGCUAAGGUCCCAAAGUCAUGGUUAAGUGGGAAACGAUGUGGGAAGGCCCAGACAGCCAGGAUGUUGGCUUAGAAGCAGCCAUCAUUUAAAGAAAGCGUAAUAGCUCACUGGUCGAGUCGGCCUGCGCGGAAGAUGUAACGGGGCUAAACCAUGCACCGAAGCUGCGGCAGCGACGCUUAUGCGUUGUUGGG
RNAcentral lists this ribosomal RNA (252 nucleotides) under Salmonella enterica subsp. enterica serovar Tennessee. Its description in RNAcentral is "partial 23S ribosomal RNA". It matches the Rfam family "Bacterial large subunit ribosomal RNA", at positions 977 to 1228 of the family's 2925-position model. Lineage: Bacteria; Pseudomonadati; Pseudomonadota; Gammaproteobacteria; Enterobacterales; Enterobacteriaceae. The record is from RNAcentral.